This is a long non-coding RNA of Strigops habroptila (Kakapo), 368 nucleotides long. RefSeq lists it as uncharacterized. The record is from RefSeq and is a predicted model, not a curated record. The transcript has 2 exons. Lineage: Eukaryota; Metazoa; Chordata; Aves; Psittaciformes; Psittacidae.
UGGGCGGUGGCGGGAAAAGGUCAUUUUGCGGCGGGCGGCGCGGCGAGCGGAUCGUUGCGGACGCAGCAGCGACGCGAUGGAAAAGUGCAAUUUCUCCACCUGUAAUCGUUUAAUUUCUACUUUUAAACGCUUCUAAAUGUUUAUUUUGUACUUUUUUACCUCAUAAAUGUUAUAAUUUAUGCGGUGGGGUUGUAAUUUAUUACGAUUUUAUUACAAUGGGGUCUCAAUCAACACCCACCCCCCCCAUUUAACCCUUUAAACGGUCAAAUUAUCAACCUUUUAAUUCAUUAUCGGUUUGUUUUAUGGAAAAGACGUUUGAUUAUUAACGUUAAUAAUGUUUAAUUAAAUAUGAAAUGAUUAAUUGUUUA